GGGCCAAACAUUUUGGGUGUUGCAAUUUUAGCCAAGCGGCUUGUUGUGUGGGAACGUUUCCUUCAAAGUGUUGCUUGCACUUUGUAGUGCAUUGUAACAAUGAGCCACGAAGGAGACGGCAGGUCUUCGAGGGUACGAAUUUACACUUUUUCAUUUUUUUUAAGCGUGUGUGUGCGCGUGCGCUCGUAUGACAUUGAUGAAGUCAAUCUUUUCAGGUGUAGCAGCAGACCCAUAUCGCCAUCACCUGGGCCGGUGGACUCCACGACGCCAAGAAGUCCGAAGCAUCUGGUUUCUGUUACGUGAACGACAUCGUCCUGGCCUUAAGCUGCUCAAGACACCGGGACUGGAAAGAGUAAAUACUACGCAGUGAAUUACCCUCUCAGAGAUGGUAUCGACUAUGAGUCGUACGAAGCCGUCUUUAAGUCGAUCAUGACCAAGUAAUGGAGAUGUACCAGCCGAGCGCAGUGGUCCUUCAGUAUGGAGCCGAUUGAUCCUCACUGUUAAAGGUAUGAAAAGAAAUGAUUUAACGCCUUUCACAGGUAUUGACAAAGUAGUGACACCAACUGGACAAAUUCAAUACAGACAAGAUUGAUGCAAACAGUUUUAGAAGUGUAUAAAGUUUAUUGAAUAAAUCAGAAGUUUAAUGUUAAGUAGAAAAUGAAGGUUGCUCCUAGGCUUCGUUUACACGACUGUUUCAAUGCCUGUCUUACUGAACUGUAACCAUGAAAUUGACAUUGCUGUUUUAAUACCUAUAUACCUUUAAAACCUAUUUGUAUUUGAUCAAUGACAAUGCAUUUUUCUUCAUUUUUGGGAGUUUUUUUAAAUUGUAAGCACAAAAUAGGUCAUUGGUUUGUUUUAAGGCAAAUUUACUUUUUCAGAAUGGAAAGCAAUCUGUUAGUAUAUGUUGCCUUUGAUCAACAGUUGUAUCCAAGAAUAUUUGAUUGCAUUGUGUGUGCAGUUUCAGUAAAUGAUCAUGCUAAAGAGUUUUAGCAUUUUGUUGAAACUGCAGCCUUUUUAUGUUGAGAAAUAUCCACAUGUUCCCCAUCAGGUGGAGUUUCUUGGUAGAUUAAUGCUUUUGUUAUUGAGAGUUUAACAUGAUGUUGUGGACUCCUUUUAGGCCCUGCCAGUAAGCAACCUUUAUGUGUAACUUUUUGGCCAGUGAGGAUAGCCUGUGAGGAGGAAGUUGCAGG
Cynoglossus semilaevis (tongue sole) is the source of this 1190-nucleotide long non-coding RNA. RefSeq lists it as uncharacterized. Lineage: Eukaryota; Metazoa; Chordata; Actinopteri; Pleuronectiformes; Cynoglossidae. The record is from RefSeq and is a predicted model, not a curated record. The transcript has 3 exons.